Long non-coding RNA from Cyprinus carpio (common carp), 408 nucleotides. Lineage: Eukaryota; Metazoa; Chordata; Actinopteri; Cypriniformes; Cyprinidae. The record is from Ensembl.
AUGGCGCGCGCCGGGACCCUGCUGCUGCUGAUGUCACUGCAGUUAGUCCUGAUCAUCUCUGCGCAGAGGGGGCCAGUUGGUCCAAGAGGACCACCUGGACCUCCAGGGCCUGCUGGGUUUCAUGGGGUUGACGGCAUUGAUGGUGACAGGGGACCUGGCCCUGGCCCAGAUGGCCCCCCAGGCCCUGAUGGAGACAAUGGCAAGGAUGGAUUAAAUGGCCUUCCGGGAAAACCAGGAGCGGAUGUGAGUCUUGUUCUUUAUUUUUUGUAAAGGUCUAGAAACGAGAUAAAAUAAGCCUUACUUUUCUAAGUUACACUUGCAGCAUCAGAGCCUGUGAGUAUAGUUUGCAUUGGAGGGUCUGACUGAGUGAAAAAAAAGCUCCUGGAUGGAAAAAAGAACCAGGAAGGC